GGUUAAGCGACUAAGCGUACACGGUGGAUGCCCUGGCAGUCAGAGGCGAUGAAGGACGUGCUAAUCUGCGAUAAGCGUCGGUAAGGUGAUAUGAACCGUUAUAACCGGCGAUUUCCGAAUGGGGAAACCCAGUGUGAUUCGUCACACUAUCAUUAACUGAAUCCAUAGGUUAAUGAGGCGAACCGGGGGAACUGAAACAUCUAAGUACCCCGAGGAAAAGAAAUCAACCGAGAUUCCCCCAGUAGCGGCGAGCGAACGGGGAGCAGCCCAGAGCCUGAAUCAGUGUGUGUGUUAGUGGAAGCGUCUGGAAAGGCGCGCGAUACAGGGUGACAGCCCCGUACACAAAAAUGCACAUGCUGUGAGCUCGAUGAGUAGGGCGGGACACGUGGUAUCCUGUCUGAAUAUGGGGGGACCAUCCUCCAAGGCUAAAUACUCCUGACUGACCGAUAGUGAACCAGUACCGUGAGGGAAAGGCGAAAAGAACCCCGGCGAGGGGAGUGAAAAAGAACCUGAAACCGUGUACGUACAAGCAGUGGGAGCACAGAGCAAUCUGUGUGACUGCGUACCUUUUGUAUAAUGGGUCAGCGACUUAUAUUCUGUAGCAAGGUUAACCGAAUAGGGGAGCCGAAGGGAAACCGAGUCUUAACUGGGCGUUAAGUUGCAGGGUAUAGACCCGAAACCCGGUGAUCUAGCCAUGGGCAGGUUGAAGGUUGGGUAACACUAACUGGAGGACCGAACCGACUAAUGUUGAAAAAUUAGCGGAUGACUUGUGGCUGGGGGUGAAAGGCCAAUCAAACCGGGAGAUAGCUGGUUCUCCCCGAAAGCUAUUUAGGUAGCGCCUCGUGAAUUCAUCUCCGGGGGUAGAGCACUGUUUCGGCAAGGGGGUCAUCCCGACUUACCAACCCGAUGCAAACUGCGAAUACCGGAGAAUGUUAUCACGGGAGACACACGGCGGGUGCUAACGUCCGUCGUGAAGAGGGAAACAACCCAGACCGCCAGCUAAGGUCCCAAAGUCAUGGUUAAGUGGGAAACGAUGUGGGAAGGCCCAGACAGCCAGGAUGUUGGCUUAGAAGCAGCCAUCAUUUAAAGAAAGCGUAAUAGCUCACUGGUCGAGUCGGCCUGCGCGGAAGAUGUAACGGGGCUAAACCAUGCACCGAAGCUGCGGCAGCGACGCUUAUGCGUUGUUGGGUAGGGGAGCGUUCUGUAAGCCUGUGAAGGUGUACUGUGAGGUAUGCUGGAGGUAUCAGAAGUGCGAAUGCUGACAUAAGUAACGAUAAAGCGGGUGAAAAGCCCGCUCGCCGGAAGACCAAGGGUUCCUGUCCAACGUUAAUCGGGGCAGGGUGAGUCGACCCCUAAGGCGAGGCCGAAAGGCGUAGUCGAUGGGAAACAGGUUAAUAUUCCUGUACUUGGUGUUACUGCGAAGGGGGGACGGAGAAGGCUAUGUUGGCCGGGCGACGGUUGUCCCGGUUUAAGCGUGUAGGCUGGUUUUCCAGGCAAAUCCGGAAAAUCAAGGCUGAGGCGUGAUGACGAGGCACUACGGUGCUGAAGCAACAAAUGCCCUGCUUCCAGGAAAAGCCUCUAAGCAUCAGGUAACAUCAAAUCGUACCCCAAACCGACACAGGUGGUCAGGUAGAGAAUACCAAGGCGCUUGAGAGAACUCGGGUGAAGGAACUAGGCAAAAUGGUGCCGUAACUUCGGGAGAAGGCACGCUGAUAUGUAGGUGAAGUCCCUCGCGGAUGGAGCUGAAAUCAGUCGAAGAUACCAGCUGGCUGCAACUGUUUAUUAAAAACACAGCACUGUGCAAACACGAAAGUGGACGUAUACGGUGUGACGCCUGCCCGGUGCCGGAAGGUUAAUUGAUGGGGUCAGCGCAAGCGAAGCUCUUGAUCGAAGCCCCGGUAAACGGCGGCCGUAACUAUAACGGUCCUAAGGUAGCGAAAUUCCUUGUCGGGUAAGUUCCGACCUGCACGAAUGGCGUAAUGAUGGCCAGGCUGUCUCCACCCGAGACUCAGUGAAAUUGAACUCGCUGUGAAGAUGCAGUGUACCCGCGGCAAGACGGAAAGACCCCGUGAACCUUUACUAUAGCUUGACACUGAACAUUGAGCCUUGAUGUGUAGGAUAGGUGGGAGGCUUUGAAGUGUGGACGCCAGUCUGCAUGGAGCCGACCUUGAAAUACCACCCUUUAAUGUUUGAUGUUCUAACGUGGACCCGUGAUCCGGGUUGCGGACAGUGUCUGGUGGGUAGUUUGACUGGGGCGGUCUCCUCCUAAAGAGUAACGGAGGAGCACGAAGGUUGGCUAAUCCUGGUCGGACAUCAGGAGGUUAGUGCAAUGGCAUAAGCCAGCUUGACUGCGAGCGUGACGGCGCGAGCAGGUGCGAAAGCAGGUCAUAGUGAUCCGGUGGUUCUGAAUGGAAGGGCCAUCGCUCAACGGAUAAAAGGUACUCCGGGGAUAACAGGCUGAUACCGCCCAAGAGUUCAUAUCGACGGCGGUGUUUGGCACCUCGAUGUCGGCUCAUCACAUCCUGGGGCUGAAGUAGGUCCCAAGGGUAUGGCUGUUCGCCAUUUAAAGUGGUACGCGAGCUGGGUUUAGAACGUCGUGAGACAGUUCGGUCCCUAUCUGCCGUGGGCGCUGGAGAAUUGAGGGGGGCUGCUCCUAGUACGAGAGGACCGGAGUGGACGCAUCACUGGUGUUCGGGUUGUCAUGCCAAUGGCACUGCCCGGUAGCUAAAUGCGGAAGAGAUAAGUGCUGAAAGCAUCUAAGCACGAAACUUGCCCCGAGAUGAGUUCUCCCUGACUCCUUGAGAGUCCUGAAGGAACGUUGAAGACGACGACGUUGAUAGGCCGGGUGUGUAAGCGCAGCGAUGCGUUGAGCUAACCGGUACUAAUGAACCGUGAGGCUUAACCUU
RNAcentral lists this ribosomal RNA (2906 nucleotides) under Escherichia coli. RNAcentral's name for it is "23S ribosomal RNA". It matches the Rfam family "Bacterial large subunit ribosomal RNA". Lineage: Bacteria; Pseudomonadati; Pseudomonadota; Gammaproteobacteria; Enterobacterales; Enterobacteriaceae. The record is from RNAcentral.